GUAUAUUCGCAAUCGCGGCUAACGCAAGCCCUGGUUUUAAUUAAAUAUACCUAUGCUUUUGACCCGAGUGAUUAAUUGUCUCUGAUUUCGUUGCAUAAUUCUUUUUCGAGGACGAAAAAAGAGUAAGUGUGGGGAUGUUUGAUGUAUUGCAAAAUACAUCUUUUAUUCGUGUACAGUUUGUCUUGAUGUUCAAAUAUGCGGGAAACCGAGUGGAAUGAGCCAAAAUAUUGAAGUGUCAAGUCUUGAAGCAUGUUGGAAAGAUCGGGAGCCGAAAAGAAGUUAAAAAGCUGAAAAAAGAGCCUCUGGCUCCCGUGAGGAGUUUCUGGCACCCGGCGAGAGUCUGAAGGUAGUACAUGAGCUGAAAAACAAGGUGGCACCCCACCACCCAGUCCCUGAUCUUGUGGUGCCCAGCCAGAAGCCUGUAGCUGCCAAUUUGUGCGAAUUUUAUAAGGGUUUGUUAUGGAAAGUCAUAUAUAUUCAUCUUAAACUUGGAAAAAACCCUAGUGACGAUUUUGGGACUUCUUGGGCGAAUUAUUGAGCAUUCUUGGAGCAAUUUUGGAGUUCUCGAAGCAUAAGAAUCAUCGGUACAAGUUCGGGGAAGAAGACUUGAAGAUCUAAUCGGGUUUUCUAGUUCUUUAUUCUUAACUUUUCUUACGAAACUUGUUAUGAUGAAUUCGUAUUUAGACAUCUUUGAAUUGUUUUCACAUUUUAACAUGCUCGGCUAAAUUUAUUAACCACCUAGACUUGAUGAAUGGAUUAAAAUAAAGUUUUUAC
This 774-nucleotide long non-coding RNA is filed under the name Helianthus annuus (common sunflower). RNAcentral's name for it is "sRNA HanXRQr2_Chr04g0146301". Lineage: Eukaryota; Viridiplantae; Streptophyta; Magnoliopsida; Asterales; Asteraceae. The record is from RNAcentral.